UAACGGUUUCAGGUACUUAGUUUAAAAGGGAAAGCGGUAAAAAUCCGCUGCAGCCCCCGCUACUGUAUACGAAGACGAUUCCGUGGUCCACUGGCAUAGGCCGGGAAGGACGGAGGAGGAUGACGCGUGAGCCAGGAGACCUGCCUGCAACUAU
Molecule: non-coding RNA, 154 nt
Filed under: human gut metagenome
Source: RNAcentral